CCUGAGAAACCCAAAAGAUCGAAUGGGGAGACUCAACGAUUGCGAUUCCGGCGCUCGUGCGGUUCGCGAUGCUUCUUCGGGAUUUCGGUCUCGGGGAGCACUCGUCCGUAUGUUCUUUCGCCGGUGAUCGCCGUCGCGCACUUCUCCCCUAGUAGGACGUCGCGACCCGUUGGGUGUCGGUCUACGGCCCGGGUGGGCGCCUGUCGUUUGUCACGCUUCGCGGCGUCAUGCGGCAGACCCCCGGUCGCCCGACCAGCUGCCCGGCGGUACUCGCACGGUAUCGGGCCGCAAACAUUUGAACUGCGUCAGGCCCGUCGCAAGCUUGGCCAGUGUUUUUCCCGGAUGUACGGACCCAGUCCCGUCACCGGGCCUGGCCGGCUGUUGGCUGACGGUGUCCUAGGACAGGCUCCUCGAUUAUGAUACCGGUCGGCGACGCUACUGCUUUGGGUACUUUCAGG
Molecule: ribosomal RNA, 458 nt
Filed under: Pristomerus vulnerator
Lineage: Eukaryota; Metazoa; Arthropoda; Insecta; Hymenoptera; Ichneumonidae
Description: eukaryotic LSU rRNA
Source: RNAcentral